RNAcentral lists this transfer RNA (71 nucleotides) under Candidatus Pacearchaeota archaeon RBG_13_36_9. RNAcentral's name for it is "tRNA-Trp". It matches the Rfam family "tRNA". Rfam says of the family: Transfer RNA (tRNA) molecules are approximately 80 nucleotides in length. Lineage: Archaea; Nanobdellati. The record is from RNAcentral.
GGGACUGUAGGAUAAUGGUAGUCCGAGCGGCUCCAGACCGCUAAGAGGGGGUUCGAUUCCCUCCUGUCCCA